UACGGAGGGAUCCAAGCGUUAUCCGGAAUCAUUGGGUUUAAAGGGUCCGUAGGCGGUUUGGUAAGUCAGUGGUGAAAGCCCAUCGCUCAACGGUGGAACGGCCAUUGAUACUGCCAGACUUGAAUUAUUAGGAAGUAACUAGAAUAUGUAGUGUAGCGGUGAAAUGCUUAGAGAUUACAUGGAAAUACCAAUUGCGAAGGCAGGUUACUACUAAUGGAUUGACGCUGAUGGACGAAAGCGUGGGUAGCGAACAGG
This 255-nucleotide ribosomal RNA is filed under the name uncultured bacterium. RNAcentral's name for it is "partial 16S ribosomal RNA". It matches the Rfam family "Bacterial small subunit ribosomal RNA", at positions 524 to 776 of the family's 1533-position model. The record is from RNAcentral.